Long non-coding RNA from Astyanax mexicanus (Mexican tetra), 783 nucleotides. RefSeq lists it as uncharacterized. Lineage: Eukaryota; Metazoa; Chordata; Actinopteri; Characiformes; Acestrorhamphidae. The record is from RefSeq and is a predicted model, not a curated record. The transcript has 2 exons.
UUAUUAUUAUUAUUAUUCCGCGCUCAAAAUUUAAUCGACUACUCCUCCUAGGGCUUUUGACGUAGAACCACGAAAUUUUGCAGUAUCGUAGGACCUAUACCCGAAUAGGUUGCUUGUGCUUUUUUAAGCGAUACAUCGUACGGUUUUCGUAAAAACUUCGUAAACGUGCGCUUUUUUUUCCCAUAGGAAAUGAAUAGGGGACAACUUUGAACGUCUGUGUAGGUAACAAUUUUUGACAUACAAAGACAAAAAUCGGACGGUCUAUAGAACUUACCGCUUUCUUUCAGAAAUUUUUAACGUUUCGACGAUACGUCGUACGGUUUUCGUACAAAUGUCGUACGAAGUUUUCCCAUUGAAAUGAAUGGGGGGCCCAGAGUUCUAACUCGCACACGAGCAGCUCUGCGCACGGAACCCCUUCUCUCCCCUGCUCCUCCAGUACUGUGAGUGUAUGGAGGAGCUGCUGUAUGGAGCAGCUAUCAGUCAAAAGUUUGGACACCCCGGCACCCCAGCCAGGGUUUAGCAACCACCUAUUAACUGCUUAGCAACCACCUGGAAAACAUUAGCAACUGCCUAGCAACCACUUAGCAACACCUUAGCAACCACCUGGAAAACGUUAGCAACUGCCAAGCAAACACUUAGCAACCACUUUAGAAAUGAUAGCAACUGCCUAGCAACCACUUAGAAACCACUUUAGAAAUGAUAGCAACUGCCUAGCAACCACUUAGCAACCACAUGGAAAACGUUAGCAACUGCCUAGCAACCACGUAGCAACCACUUUAGAAA